Long non-coding RNA from Clarias gariepinus (North African catfish), 271 nucleotides. RefSeq lists it as uncharacterized. The transcript is spliced from 3 exons. The record is from RefSeq and is a predicted model, not a curated record. NCBI's taxonomy places the organism in Eukaryota, Metazoa, Chordata, Actinopteri, Siluriformes, Clariidae.
GCCAUGUAGCUAUAGAAAGAAGGCUGAAGCCUGUCUAACUGGCAGGGGCCCACCACCACCUCCCCUCACCCCAUCUGAGGAGCUGGCUCUGUCCCUUAAUAAAGGGCGACCAGUGAUACUAAUAUGGUGAAAUGAUCGACAUGACAAUGAACAGACCACAUCUGCUGUGACAGAAGUGGACAAUGCUGGUAGAGCCACUGAGUUGCCAGCAAAGGAGCUGUAAGGUCCAUCUUUAAAAACAAAUGAGCAAAAUGGAAAAGAGAAAUGGAAG